CAAUAACACUUUAAAAGUGGUUUCCACUCAGUGGCUGUUCAUUAUCGCAGGAUAUUAUACAGGAUGAAGUUCUUCGUGCAGGUUUUUCUUUUCGCGCUGCUCGCUUUGUCCGGGCUCGUGAGUGCCGGAAAAAUGGCUAUAAAUCCGGCAACCACAACCACCGAAAGACCAAUUUUCUUUCCAUGUUUUGAUGAAGACGGCAUCUUUAUCGGAUGUACGCCGCAUCCGUAACAGAAUAAAUGAAAUAAUGAAUUGAAUUUGACUUUAAACUAGCAACUACAACUACAUAAUUGAAAUCAAAUCGCAAAGCUCACACUUGUAACAGUUAUUAUGAUAAAUUCUGAAAUAAACAACCAUAUAAAUAUGUUACCAUACAUGCUAACUGCAACCAAUUCCAUCCAUGUUCAACAUUUCUAGAACAUGUAGCAAGUGAGAUUCCACAUCAGCACGCUAAUAUAUAAGCUGUUCUCUCAUCCCUGUGACGUUUAAAUCUUAUACUAACCCUGUUUCAAUCGAAACCCAUUGUAAAAAAAAAACAGCGAAACAUGAAAUUCCUUGCCACCAUAAUUCUCUUUGCAUUUAUUGCACUGAUCGGACAGGGAUCCGCAGAACCAUCUCGCAAUGAUAUUUCCGUUUAUGAGAAAUUAUGCCAAACCUUUGGGCUGGAGAAGGACUGCUGGACUACUGCCAACCCACCAACGAAAAGGCCUCUUGCUGACAUUAAACAAGAAACCAAAGAGAACAAAGAUUUGAUGCGUUGAACAGUUCCAACUGUAACCAAAACGUUGCAAAAUAAACCUCACAUUUAUUCAACUGUAAAAUUAUCAAUUUUCUGCAGUGCUGCAAUGUAAAUAAAAACUAACUGCUCUGCAAACUA
Anopheles gambiae (African malaria mosquito) is the source of this 877-nucleotide long non-coding RNA. RefSeq lists it as uncharacterized. Lineage: Eukaryota; Metazoa; Arthropoda; Insecta; Diptera; Culicidae. The transcript has 5 exons. The record is from RefSeq and is a predicted model, not a curated record.